GCCCCCUGGAACCGCCUCUCUUCCCCCACCCGGAGUGGCCGGCAGUCCCCGGCAGGCGUGCGCCGGGCAGCAGACAGCCGGGAGAGCUCGAGCGCCAGGAAGCUGGGGACCCGUGACCGUCACGGAGAGAUAGAGAACCCCCAGCGGACCUGAGGAACCUGGGCUCUGCUUCCUCCGGCUGCUGCCUGGACUGCUCAGUGAGGUGGGGGGAUCCCCGGCCACCGGUGCACAAUGCCCACCUUCACAGCAGGAAGGACUCAAAUUGGAACACAGUAGUAGCCUGCCAGCCAACGUGACUGGCUUCAACCUCAUCCACCGACUCAGCCUCAUGAAGAUGUCUGCCAUCAAGAAGAUCCGCAACCCCAAGGGGCCUCUCAUCCUGCGCCUGGGGGCGGCCCCCGUGACCCAGCCCACGCGACGAGUAUUCCCUCGGGGUCUCCCGGAGGAGUUUGCCCUGGUGCUGACACUACUGCUGAAGAAACACACCCACCAGAAGACGUGGUAUCUGUUUCAAGUGACCGAUGCAAAUGGGUA
RNAcentral lists this small RNA (534 nucleotides) under Pan troglodytes (chimpanzee). RNAcentral's name for it is "processed transcript". Lineage: Eukaryota; Metazoa; Chordata; Mammalia; Primates; Hominidae. The record is from RNAcentral.